Molecule: ribosomal RNA, 909 nt
Filed under: uncultured bacterium
Lineage: Bacteria
Description: bacterial SSU rRNA
Rfam family: Bacterial small subunit ribosomal RNA
Source: RNAcentral
ACGCUGGCGGCGUGCCUAAUACUGCAAGUCGAUCGAGAGCGGAGCAAUCCGCGAAAGAGGCGAACGGGUGAGUAAUACAUAAGCAACCUGGCCACAAAGACGGGGAUAACACCUGGAAACGGGCGCUAAUACCGGAUAAGUGAAGGUGGGGCAUCCCACCAUCAUAAAAGGGAGAGAAACGCGAGUGGAUGGGCUUAUGGUGCAUUAGUUAGUUGGCGGGAUAAAGGCCCACCAAGACGAUGAUGCAUAGCCGGACUGAGAGGUUGAACGGCCACAUUGGGACUGAGACACGGCCCAGACUCCUACGGGAGGCAGCAGUAGGGAAUUUUCGGCAAUGGGGGGAACCCUGACCGAGCAACGCCGCGUGAGUGAAGAAGUUUUUCGGAAUGUAAAGCUCUGUUGUAAGGGAAGAAGAGAUAUGGAGGACCAUAUUGUGACGGUACCUUACGAGGAAGCCACGGCUAACUACGUGCCAGCAGCCGCGGUAAUACGUAGGUGGCGAGCGUUAUCCGGAAUUAUUGGGCGUAAAGGGUGCGUAGGCGGGCGUUUAAGUUCAAGGUGAAAGCGUGGGGCUCAACCCCAUAAAGCCUUGGAUACUGGGCGGCUGGAGUACUGGAGAGGGUAGUGGAAUUCCAUGUGUAGCGGUAAAAUGCGUAGAUAUAUGGAGGAACACCGGAGGCGAAGGCGGCUACCUGGACAGUAACUGACGCUGAGGCACGAAAGCGUGGGGAGCAAAUAGGAUUAGAUACCCUAGUAGUCCACGCCGUAAACGAUGAAUACUAAAUGUCGGGGAAACCCGGUGUUGGAACAAACGCAAUAAGUAUUCCGCCUGUGGAGUAUGCACGCAAGUGUGAAACAUAAAGGAAUUGACGGGGGCCCGCACAAGCGGUGGAGUAUGUGGUUUAAUUC